Long non-coding RNA from Callithrix jacchus (white-tufted-ear marmoset), 2642 nucleotides. RefSeq lists it as uncharacterized. NCBI's taxonomy places the organism in Eukaryota, Metazoa, Chordata, Mammalia, Primates, Cebidae. The record is from RefSeq and is a predicted model, not a curated record.
UGGGGGGUGGACCAGGUGGCAGAAGCAGAGGUGGAGGGGUCAGCCAAGGGGCGUUGAGCGCUGGGGGGAGCUGGGCCUGGCGUGGAUGUCACAGGUGCGUGUUGUGCCCCCAGUGGCCAGCAGGUGUCGCCCCAGACAGCUCCUUGCCUUCCCCUGGUCCCCUCCCUGCCCAUCCUGAAAGAGGCACAGAAGGUGCAUGUCUUUUGAACCUGACGGCUGGGCGGCCCUUUCCAGGUCUCGACACCAGCCCCCGCCUGGUCAGCCGGGCAGGCAGCUCCAGCACCCUCUGCAGAAUCUGUAUGGCCUGGAGCUAAAUGAAAAAAUAGGGCCCCCGUUUAAAAAUUCCGAAAAGGCUGGGUGCGGUUGCUCACACCUGUCAUUUCAGCGCUUUGGGGGGUCCAGGCGGGCAGAUGAUUUGAGGUCAGGAGUUCGAGACCAACCUGGCCACAUUGGCGAACCCGACAUCUCUACUAAAAAUACAAAAAAUUUGCAAGGUGUGGUGCAUGCCUGUAGUCCCAGCUACUUGGGAGCCUGACGCACAGUCGUUGCUUGAACCUGGGAGGCGAAGGUUGCAGUGAGCCGAGAUCGCGCCAUUGCACUCCAGCCUGGGAGACGGACUGAGAAUCCUCAAAAUCAAUAAAUAGCCCGGGUGUGGUGGCUCAUAUCUGUCUACUAAAAAUACAAAAAUUAGCCGGGCGCGGUGGCUCACGCCUGUAAUCCCAGCACUUUGGGAGGCUGAGGUGGGUGGACCACUUGAAGUCAGGAGUUUGCGGCCAGCCUGGUCAACAUGGUGAAACUCUGUCUCUACCAAAAAUAUAAAAAUUAGCCAGGCGUGGCGGCGGACGUCUGAAGUCCCAGCUACUCAGGAGGCAGAGGCCAUUGCACUCCAUCCUGGGCAACAGAGUGAGACUCUUAAAAAAAAAAAAAGGAUAAAAGAACUUGGAGUUGGCCGGGCGCGGUGGCUCACACCUGCAACCCCAGCACUUUGGGAGGCCAAGGCAGGCAGAUCACAAGGUCAGGAGUUCGAGACCAGCCUGGCCAACAUAGUGAAACCCCAUCUCUACUAAAAAUACAAAAAAAAAAAAAAAAAAAAAUUAGCCAGAUGUGUUGGCGGGCACCUGUAAUCCCAGCUACACGGGAGGCUGAGGUGGGAGAACUGCUUGAACCUGGGAGGCGAAGGUUGCAGUGAGCCGAGAUCGCGCCAUUGCCCUCUAGCCUGGGUGACACAGCAAGACUGUCUCAAAACAAAAACAAAAGAAAAAACUUGGAGUUAUUAGAAGUGUAAGUUGGUCCACGCACUUUGGCAAAAGAUGGUUAAUAUCUAGGAAAUACUCUAUAACCCAGCAGUUCUACCACUGGAUAUUGAGUCACAGAAAGCCAUACAAAUAAUCACAAGACAUGUACCAAAUGUCCACAGCUAUCCUGUUCAUUACAGACCCAAACUGAAAUUGAACCAAAUGCCCAUCAACAGUAGAAUGGAUGAGUAGAUUGCAGCUUAUUCACCCAGAGGAACAGUCUGUGACGAACCAUGACCACGUGCAAGACUGAACUAAUAAUACACGACAGAUGCCCAGGACGGCGGGCAGCAUGUGGCGAGGAAGUAGCUUUGCCCGUUUGGGGGAACUACAAGGGAGCUUUGCCCAGAAGCUGAAGAAAUGGGCAGAGCUGGGGCUUGGAUCCAGGGAGUUGGCUCAUUUAUUGUGAGGCCAACGGGAGCCACAGAAGGUCAUUUCUGUGUCAGCCACCUGGAAGUUCUGCACGGCCGCCACCUGUGUCUGCGUUUCUUCGCCUGUCCCGGGCGGGAGUGCCCCUCGUCACUGCCAUCCGGUUGGGGGCAGGAAGGUGGGUGGCUGGGUGUGCAGGCGGCACCUGCCCGCCCGGUGACCGGACAGGGGCCCUAUCGUACUUCCUAUCUGCCAUUCGUUAUGAAUCAACAGCGGAGAAAACCGCACGUUUGUGCUGGGCUGCUGAGGCCUCAUCAACCGCUGUCACCGAGCCCUGGUGUUGGGAGGAGGCGGGGACGGUGGCUGCCGACGGCUGUGUGACCCUGGGCGUGUCCUAGCCCUCUCUGAACCUUGCCUUAUCUAUAAAGAAACCGGAGGCCCCCGAACCACGUGUAUCUCUUGGAAAGGAGAGUUUUGGCCCAGAACUUUCUAGAAUUUUCUACAGCCUCUCCAUGGGGUGAGGAAUCUUCACCCAAACACUCUGGCUCUGAGUACCUAGGAAGCAGCAGCGUUUUCACCGAGCCACUGCCAGCUCACUUCUAGGCCCCCGACGCCCCAGAGGGAUGAGGACAGCGUGGCCUGAUGGCCCUCCCUGGUAAGGUCUCCUGGACCGUCGAGUCUACCCCUAAAGUCCCUGUCACACCCAGUCAGCCCGUCUGACUUCUCCUGAUCCAAAUACCCCUUGUCUGUGUGACCUGCGCUGACCCAUCCGAGCGGCGGCCCCGAGCCUCUCCAGAAGCAGCUCUUUCCACCAUCCAGCAGGCUCAGGUGUGUAAAAAUAGGCAUAUACACAUCGACUUUAUAUGUAUGUGUCUAUGUAUACGGAUGUAUGUGUAAAAUAUAUGUAUGUUUUUAUGUAUAUUUAAUACACGUGUAUGCAUAUAUAUGUGUGUAUGUGUAUAUUUUUAAAAUAUAUGU